RNAcentral lists this ribosomal RNA (91 nucleotides) under Fukomys damarensis (Damara mole-rat). Lineage: Eukaryota; Metazoa; Chordata; Mammalia; Rodentia; Bathyergidae. The record is from RNAcentral.
AUCUAUGUCCAUACCACCCUGAAAAACUCCCAAUCUUGUCUGAUCUCAGAAGCUAAGCAGGGUUAAGUUAAGCCUGGUUAGUACUUGGAUA